Molecule: ribosomal RNA, 734 nt
Filed under: uncultured Bacteroidales bacterium
Lineage: Bacteria; Pseudomonadati; Bacteroidota; Bacteroidia; Bacteroidales
Description: bacterial SSU rRNA
Rfam family: Bacterial small subunit ribosomal RNA
Source: RNAcentral
UAACACAUGCAAGUCGAGGGGCAGCAUGGUCUUAGCUUGCUAAGACUGAUGGCGACCGGCGCACGGGUGAGUAACACGUAUCCAACCUGCCGUCUACUCUUGGACAGCCUUCUGAAAGGAAGAUUAAUACAAGAUGGCAUCAUGAGUCCGUAUGUUCACAUGAUUAAAGGUAUUCCGGUAGACGAUGGGGAUGCGUUCCAUUAGAUAGUAGGCGGGGUAACGGCCCACCUAGUCUUCGAUGGAUAGGGGUUCUGAGAGGAAGGUCCCCCACAUUGGAACUGAGACACGGUCCAAACUCCUACGGGAGGCAGCAGUGAGGAAUAUUGGUCAAUGGGCGAGAGCCUGAACCAGCCAAGUAGCGUGAAGGAUGACUGCCCUAUGGGUUGUAAACUUCUUUUAUAAAGGAAUAAAGUCGGGUAUGUAUACCCGUUUGCAUGUACUUUAUGAAUAAGGAUCGGCUAACUCCGUGCCAGCAGCCGCGGUAAUACGGAGGAUCCGAGCGUUAUCCGGAUUUAUUGGGUUUAAAGGGAGCGUAGAUGGAUGUUUAAGUCAGUUGUGAAAGUUUGCGGCUCAACCGUAAAAUUGCAGUUGAUACUGGAUAUCUUGAGUGCAGUUGAGGCAGGCGGAAUUCGUGGUGUAGCGGUGAAAUGCUUAGAUAUCACGAAGAACUCCGGUUGCGAAGGCAGCCUGCUAAGCUGCAACUGACAUUGAGGCUCGAAAGUGUGGGUAUCAAA